CUUGCUACCUGACCUAGCGGCGGACGGGUGAGUAAUGCUUAGGAAUCUGCCUAUUAGUGGGGGACAACAUUCCGAAAGGAAUGCUAAUACCGCAUACGCCCUACGGGGGAAAGCAGGGGAUCUUCGGACCUUGCGCUAAUAGAUGAGCCUAAGUCAGAUUAGCUAGUUGGUGGGGUAAAGGCCUACCAAGGCGACGAUCUGUAGCGGGUCUGAGAGGAUGAUCCGCCACACUGGGACUGAGGCACGGCCCAGACUCCUACGGGAGGCAGCAGUGGGGAAUAUUGGACAAUGGGCGAAAGCCUGAUCCAGCCAUGCCGCGUGUGUGAAGAAGGCCUUUUGGUUGUAAAGCACUUUAAGCGAGGAGGAGGCUACUUGGAUUAAUACUCUAGGAUAGUGGACGUUACUCGCAGAAUAAGCACCGGCUAACUCUGUGCCAGCAGCCGCGGUAAUACAGAGGGUGCGAGCGUUAAUCGGAUUUACUGGGCGUAAAGCGUGCGUAGGCGGCUUCUUAAGUCGGAUGUGAAAUCCCUGAGCUUAACUUAGGAAUUGCAUUCGAUACUGGGAAGCUAGAGUAUGGGAGAGGAUGGUAGAAUUCCAGGUGUAGCGGUGAAAUGCGUAGAGAUCUGGAGGAAUACCGAUGGCGAAGGCAGCCAUCUGGCCUAAUACUGACGCUGAGGUACGAAAGCAUGGGGAGCAAACAGGAUUAGAUACCCUGGUAGUCCAUGCCGUAAACGAUGUCUACUAGCCGUUGGGGCCUUUGAGGCUUUAGUGGCGCAGCUAACGCGAUAAGUAGACCGCCUGGGGAGUACGGUCGCAAGACUAAAACUCAAAUGAAUUGACGGGGGCCCGCACAAGCGGUGGAGCAUGUGGUUUAAUUCGAUGCAACGCGAAGAACCUUACCUGGUCUUGACAUAGUAAGAACUUUCCAGAGAUGGAUUGGUGCCUUCGGGUACUUACAUACAGGUGCUGCAUGGCUGUCGUCAGCUCGUGUCGUGAGAUGUUGGGUUAAGUCCCGCAACGAGCGCAACCCUUUUCCUUAUUUGCCAGCGAGUAAUGUCGGGAACUUUAAGGAUACUGCCAGUGACAAACUGGAGGAAGGCGGGGACGACGUCAAGUCAUCAUGGCCCUUACGACCAGGGCUACACACGUGCUACAAUGGUCGGUACAAAGGGUUGCUACCUAGCGAUAGGAUGCUAAUCUCAAAAAGCCGAUCGUAGUCCGGAUUGGAGUCUGCAACUCGACUCCAUGAAGUCG
RNAcentral lists this ribosomal RNA (1254 nucleotides) under uncultured Acinetobacter sp. RNAcentral describes it as "bacterial SSU rRNA". It matches the Rfam family "Bacterial small subunit ribosomal RNA", at positions 79 to 1328 of the family's 1533-position model. The record is from RNAcentral. Lineage: Bacteria; Pseudomonadati; Pseudomonadota; Gammaproteobacteria; Moraxellales; Moraxellaceae.